Long non-coding RNA from Erinaceus europaeus (western European hedgehog), 626 nucleotides. RefSeq lists it as uncharacterized. The record is from RefSeq and is a predicted model, not a curated record. The transcript has 4 exons. Lineage: Eukaryota; Metazoa; Chordata; Mammalia; Eulipotyphla; Erinaceidae.
GUCAAUCAUUACCAGUCGGCCAGAUGUAGAUUUGAUCAGUGCUGACUAGCUCAACUCUCUGACUGAUUUGGAUUUCUGACUCUUCUUGAUUUCUGAAACUACAGCUUCAAGCCCCUGGUCUCCAUCUGCAAGCCCCUGGAAGCUCCACUUCACUGUCUGCAAUGCUAGUGAAGGUGCCAGCAGACAGAGAAAUUGAGAGGACAGGAGACAGAGAUUGAGAACAAGGAACAUCUAUAGCAAUGUUUCACAACUCGGGGAGCUUCCCCCUGCAGAUCCCUUCACCCACAGCACUCAAGAACCAAAAUGGUAACAUACUUGUCAACAACACCGCCAUCACUAGUGAAGAAGACCAGGGAGGGAGGUGGAGCAGAUCCCAAGGAAAGAACAGAGCACAUCAGGACUCACGUUGCCAUUUCUGUUGUGUCUGCAACUUACAGUCUCAUAGAUUUCAAAAUGUGUUCUUUCCUUUUCCAAAUAUGCUUCACCUGGUGCCUUCUAUGUGACACCAAAGACUGGCUGGAGGAAGACGUUGGCUACAAUUCUUUACUCCUGCCCAUGUGCUAAUAAUAUCGACAUCAGCUGGAGGAAAAUAAAUCAGUGUUCGGUUUGCUCUGAAAAUCCACAAA